Small nuclear RNA from Suricata suricatta (meerkat), 108 nucleotides. Lineage: Eukaryota; Metazoa; Chordata; Mammalia; Carnivora; Herpestidae. The record is from Ensembl.
AUAUCCUCUGUGCUCAAUGUAUAUACUAAAACUAGAACAAUACAAAGAAGGUUAGCAUGGCCCCCAUGCAAGGAUGACACGCAGAUUCGAGAAAAUAUCCUCUGCAGU